UUUGCCUGAAAUGCUGGUUAUUACCCGUUAGGCAAUCCAAGCCAUGAUUCAAAAGAGAUUGGGCCUAAUCCUGAUCAUCCCAGCAUCCCUGCCUGCUGAAACCCGGAGGAAGACUCUCUGCCUGUGGGUUUUGUGAAAGGGAUGUUUUGAGGGAGGAAUUAAAAAAAUCAAAAUACUUGAAUUGAAUGCUGAGGUUUAUUUGAUUCUCAAACUACAGAACUAGCAGAAGGAAACUUACAGAAGAAGAGAAAAGGGAAAGAUGACGAGGUGUCAAAGAAUGCAGGGGAGAGGGGGAUGAUGGACCAUCUGGUGGUAAAGGCCACAAGCAUAAAUUUUCAAGGAUGGUCCACGAUGGAUGAGAG
Non-coding RNA from Pseudonaja textilis, 362 nucleotides. The record is from RefSeq and is a predicted model, not a curated record. Lineage: Eukaryota; Metazoa; Chordata; Lepidosauria; Squamata; Elapidae.